This 231-nucleotide small RNA is filed under the name Vigna angularis var. angularis. RNAcentral's name for it is "Non-protein coding transcript". The record is from RNAcentral. Lineage: Eukaryota; Viridiplantae; Streptophyta; Magnoliopsida; Fabales; Fabaceae.
GUCUCGACUAAGGGUUUUCGCAGAAGUCAGUGAAUACAACGUGCAUUGCUGGUUCAACAACCACGGGAAUCGGGUCAGGCGCCUACAAGCGGAAAUAGACCCCACUGGCACUAUCUUUUCUCAACUGCCGCUGUAUAUGUGUGAAUAUGACUGGGUAAUCAUGAGGGCGCCAAGGCUGCUGGAUUUGUUCCCCGUUCCAAUCAUCAUUGACGACGACAGAGAUGAACGACA